This 227-nucleotide long non-coding RNA is filed under the name Cicer arietinum (chickpea). Its description in RNAcentral is "long non-coding RNA (CARI_LNC002661)". Lineage: Eukaryota; Viridiplantae; Streptophyta; Magnoliopsida; Fabales; Fabaceae. The record is from RNAcentral.
CUCACGAAUCUGGAUAUUCAAGGAAUGUUCAUGAGCACAUUAUCAUUUCUCUUGGAUUGUCAACAAACUGUAUUGUAAUCUGUAAUCACAAUUAUGAAGUUGUUAGUUUGUUGUUAUGAACAGUUGAGAGCAUUAUGAGAAAUUAUGAAAGUUAUGAAUUGUUAUGAAAAAGUUAUUAGAAUAAAGAUUGAAAGACAGUUUAUAUAGUUUCUGAAAAACCAACUACG